RNAcentral lists this ribosomal RNA (643 nucleotides) under uncultured bacterium. RNAcentral's name for it is "bacterial SSU rRNA". It matches the Rfam family "Bacterial small subunit ribosomal RNA", at positions 232 to 885 of the family's 1533-position model. The record is from RNAcentral.
CGCGGCCUAUCAGCUUGUUGGUGAGGUAAUGGCUCACCAAGGCUUCGACGGGUAGCCGGCCUGAGAGGGCGACCGGCCACACUGGGACUGAGAUACGGCCCAGACUCCUACGGGAGGCAGCAGUGGGGAAUAUUGCACAAUGGGCGCAAGCCUGAUGCAGCAACGCCGCGUGCGGGAUGACGGCCUUCGGGUUGUAAACCGCUUUCAGUAGGGACGAAGCUAACGUGACGGUACCUACAGAAGAAGGACCGGCUAACUACGUGCCAGCAGCCGCGGUGAUACGUAGGGUCCGAGCGUUGUCCGGAAUUAUUGGGCGUAAAGGGCUUGUAGGCGGUCCGUCGCGUCAGGAGUGAAAACUCGGGGCUUAACCCCGAGCCUGCUUUUGAUACGGGCGGACUAGAGGGAUGCAGGGGAGAACGGAAUUCCUGGUGGAGCGGUGGAAUGCGCAGAUAUCAGGAGGAACACCGGUGGCGAAGGCGGUUCUCCGGGCAUCACCUGACGCUGAGAAGCGAAAGCGUGGGGAGCAAACAGGCUUAGAUGCCCUGGUAGUCCACGCCGUAAACGGUGGGCACUAGGUGUGGGGGACAUUCCACGUUCUCCGUGCCGAAGCUAACGCAUUAAGUGCCCCGCCUGGGGAGUACGG